This 20-nucleotide non-coding RNA is filed under the name Rattus norvegicus (Norway rat). The record is from RNAcentral. Lineage: Eukaryota; Metazoa; Chordata; Mammalia; Rodentia; Muridae.
GGUCAGAAGCUCAAUGGCGC